UACGUAGGGACCAAGCGUUGUUCGGAUUUACUGGGCGUAAAGGGCGCGUAGGCGGCGUGUUAAGUCACUUGUGAAAUCUCUAAGCUUAACUUAGAACGGUCAAGUGAUACUGAUGUGCUAGAGUGCAGAAGGGGCAACCGGAAUUCUUGGUGUAGCGGUGAAAUGCGUAGAUAUCGUAAGGAACGCCAGUGGCGAAAGCGAAUCUCUGGGCAGCAACUGACGCUGAGGCACGAAGGCCAGGGGAGCAAACGGG
This 253-nucleotide ribosomal RNA is filed under the name uncultured bacterium. Its description in RNAcentral is "partial 16S ribosomal RNA". It matches the Rfam family "Bacterial small subunit ribosomal RNA", at positions 524 to 776 of the family's 1533-position model. The record is from RNAcentral.